AAUUACGGAUAAUCGCGCAUUGUUUACAAUGUGAGGAAAGUCCAUGCUCACACAAACUGAGAUGUUUGUAGUGUUCGUGCGCAGCGAAAAAAUAAGCUGCGGCUCCAUUCUAUAGAGUGGAUGACGGCAGAAAAAAGGGCUAAGGCUAAAGCUACGCCUGAGUAUUCUUGAAAGUGCCACAGUGACGAAGCAGCAGGGGAAACUCUGCUGGUGGAACGCGGUAAACCCCUCGAGUGAGCAACCCAAACAUAUGGUAGGGGCACUUUUCUCCUGAAAAUUAACAGAGAGAAGAGGCAAUUUUAAUUGCAGACAGAUGAUUAUCUCUGAGAAAACAGCCUGAUCGUUUUCUCUAGACAGAACAUGGCUUAUAGUA
Molecule: RNase P RNA, 373 nt
Filed under: Marinilactibacillus psychrotolerans
Lineage: Bacteria; Bacillati; Bacillota; Bacilli; Lactobacillales; Carnobacteriaceae
Description: RNase P RNA component class B
Rfam family: Bacterial RNase P class B
About the family: Ribonuclease P (RNase P) is a ubiquitous endoribonuclease, found in archaea, bacteria and eukarya as well as chloroplasts and mitochondria. Its best characterised activity is the generation of mature 5'-ends of tRNAs by cleaving the 5'-leader elements of precursor-tRNAs. Cellular RNase Ps are ribonucleoproteins.
Source: RNAcentral